Alligator mississippiensis (American alligator) is the source of this 1682-nucleotide long non-coding RNA. RefSeq lists it as uncharacterized. The transcript has 2 exons. NCBI's taxonomy places the organism in Eukaryota, Metazoa, Chordata, Crocodylia, Alligatoridae. The record is from RefSeq and is a predicted model, not a curated record.
CCCCGGCCCCGGCCCCGAGGAUGCUGCUGAAGGGGAGGCUCCGCGCGGCCAGCGGGCGCGGCAACUUGGAGUCGUCGCUGCUGAAACUUUGGGGGCGGCCCCUGCCCCUGGACCGGAGCCCCCCGUGUGUGGGCGCGGGGCCGCCCCCUCGUGCAAGCGCCACGCGGGCGCCCCGAGCCCGGCGCAGCGGCGCGCGCCCCGUCUGGACAGUGCCCCCGAGCUGGAGCUCUCGGGGCUGUCCCCGUCCCGGCUCGCGAAGGGGCGGCAGGGAGCCCUGAGGGUUGUGUCGUGCCUCAGAGCCGGAGCCGCGGCCCCGCCUGUCGGGUCGGCGCGGCCCGUGGCAGCUGCGGUCGCCCCCGUAGGACUCCGGGUCUCCUGCCUCGCUUCCCCGCCGCUGCGUCCCCCCGGGGCGCCCAGCUCCUUCCGUGGCGCCAGGGCUAACUCUCCACGGGGUCCCGAGGGCUCCCUCCUCCCUCCUGGGCCGCUGCUGCCUGGAACGACCUCACCGGGGAGCUGCUCUGAGGCACCCCUCACCCCCAGCAGUAGCUCAAUCACAGUCUCCUUCCAUGCAGGUUUCCACCACGGACUUGCUUUGUCUCCACCCUGCCCUGCCUUCCAGCCGGCUGACUGGUUCAGAAAGGCCCGAGCUGGCCUAAGCAAGCAACACCCCUGACCUACCUUCUGCCCAAGCUCAGACUACCAGGGCUUGCCACCUCUUCCCUUACUCUGAGUUAGUUAUUUUUUUACUGUGUGAACUAUCCCCCUUCCUUUGUCCCAGGUAGCACAGUGCUUUGGAAAGGUGCUGGACCAACGAUCUUUGGGAAUGAAGUUCAUGUUCUCUUUUAUCUGGUGACAUCAGUUCUAGUGGCAACAGGAUCCAUUGGUGACUCUCCACACCUUCCCGAAUGUGGCUCAGCUCUGACCAGGAGAGAAGUCCUGUACAAGGGAGACAUCUCCACCUCCAUUCAUUCUCAGUGCCCUUUUAAGUCUUUGUUAAAACUCAUAAAUAGGUGUUACCUGGUGCCAGUGGCUACUCAAUUUUAUAGAUUAAUACUAAUUUUCAUCCAUCAGAAGCCACUGCACUAGCUGAAGUAUACAGUAUAAACUCAACAUCUAGAUGCAAGGAAAUUCAAAUACAUGGGCCAAAAUGGACCAAAAGAACUUUCAUUAUCCUGAUGCUUUAACUCUGACACCCACCUUUCAGAUACUCUGAAAGAUUGACACCCCUGAAGUACAUCCAGAAGACUUUCAGGAAUGAAAGGGAAAGAAACACCUUUCACAGCUGAAUACCUUGGACCAAGAAUGGGUCAACCUACUGGAUUCGACCUACUCGAUACAAAAAAUCAUGGACUAAAUAUAGACAUUGGAUUUAUGACACACAAACUGCCUAAUAUCUGACUCCCCAGGUACCUCUCCACUAUUUACCAGCUAUAUUCAUUCCCCUUCCCCUACCUGUCUCUCACCCACUGACUCCUCAAUUUACAUAGUCACUGAUUGGCUUUCUUGAUGCAUACCAGCUUCUGGCUUCUUUACUGUUCAUUCCAUCCAUCCAGGAAGACCACACAUGAAGUGCAGAUGGUUCCUCAGCCUGACGAAGGGCAUUUUUACCUGAAAGCUUGCAAAGAAGAAUUUUCCAACUAUUUAAGUUGGUCUAAUAAAAGAUACCAGAUUUAUUCAAAGAA